RNAcentral lists this ribosomal RNA (494 nucleotides) under uncultured bacterium. RNAcentral's name for it is "partial 16S ribosomal RNA". It matches the Rfam family "Bacterial small subunit ribosomal RNA", at positions 28 to 507 of the family's 1533-position model. The record is from RNAcentral.
GACGAACGCUGGCGGCGUGCCUAAUACAUGCAAGUCGAACGGUUUAGUUCCAAGAGGCUUGCCUUUUGGAACUAGACAGUGGCGGACGGGUGAGUAACACGUAGGCAACCUACCUGUCAAACCGGGAUAACCUCGGGAAACCGAAGCUAAACCCGGAUAAGCUCCUUUUUCGCAUGAAGGGGGAGUGAAAAGGUGCGACCUGAUGACAGAUGGGCCUGCGGCGCAUUAGCUAGUAGGUAGGGUAACGGCCUACCUAGGCGAUGAUGCGUAGCCGACCUGAGAGGGCGUACGGCCACACUGGGACUGAGAUGCGGCCCAGACUCCUACGGGAGGCAGCAGUAGGGAAUCUUCGGCAAUGGGCGAAAGCCUGACCGAGCAACGCCGCGUGAGUGAGGAAGGCCUUCGGGUUGUAAAACUCUGUUGUUUGGGAAGAAGGGAAAGGGUAGGACCCUUUGGUGACGGUACCAAACGAGAAAGCCCCGGCUAACUACGUG